This 403-nucleotide transfer-messenger RNA is filed under the name Flavobacteriaceae bacterium. It matches the Rfam family "transfer-messenger RNA". From Rfam's summary of the family: Bacterial tmRNA, also known as 10Sa RNA or SsrA, is named for its dual tRNA and mRNA-like properties. Lineage: Bacteria; Pseudomonadati; Bacteroidota; Flavobacteriia; Flavobacteriales; Flavobacteriaceae. The record is from RNAcentral.
GGGGACGACUGGUUUUGACAGCGAGGUCAAUCAACUAGUAAGCAUGCCGAGCUAUGGAAUUUUAACUCGUUAAACUUAAUUCCAAAACAACAACCGGUGAAGAAUCUUUCGCUAUGGCUGCCUAAUUUUAUCCGAAUUAUAGUACGAUAACAGGCCUUGGCUCACUAGGUGAGCAAGCCAUACACUUCCUGCCAGCGCUGAUAGACCGCGUGCAAUUUAGAAGUGUCGUAAAAGUCUAAAUAAGAAAAAUAUUGUUUCGAUGUUUUUCCGAAGCUCAAGAGACUAAGUUUUAAGUGGAUUGUUUUUAGUCAGCUUAUUAACGAAAACUAAAUAGAAAAUAAGCAUGUAGAAAGCUACGCGGUUGCUUGUUUGGACCCGGGUUCGAUUCCCGGCGUCUCCACCA